AUGGACCGGACCGUGAACCGGAUUACGGUCUUCACGGACUGGACCAUGACAACAGGAUUUUGCAAAUUUGAUUGGGAGAAGCUGUUUGCAGCUGGAUAUCUGGCCCAGGAAUUGAAGAUGCCUCACAUUUCAAUCACGAGGCCCGAGACGACGACGGUGAAGAUACUGUGCGAGGUAAGGGCACUCGAUGACAUCCACUGGUACCAGCAACUCGCCAACCAGGCACCCAGAAGGAUCCUGCGCUUUAGCAAAGGUCGAACGGAGCGGGAUCCGGGAGUGUCCGCCAAGUUCUCAGCCGAGGGCAGUGACCCUUUCUUCUCUCUUGUGGUUGACAACAUCGCCCUGACAGAUGCCGCCAUCUAUUACUGUGCCCGCUGGGUCGGCACAGUGUGA
This is a non-coding RNA of Mobula hypostoma (lesser devil ray), 393 nucleotides long. The record is from the annotation of a RefSeq genome assembly. NCBI's taxonomy places the organism in Eukaryota, Metazoa, Chordata, Chondrichthyes, Myliobatiformes, Myliobatidae.